RNAcentral lists this long non-coding RNA (429 nucleotides) under Homo sapiens (human). RNAcentral's name for it is "non-protein coding lnc-SLC6A12-6:7". The record is from RNAcentral. Lineage: Eukaryota; Metazoa; Chordata; Mammalia; Primates; Hominidae.
UACUUCUAUGUGCCAGACCUGGGCCAGGUGCCUGAGAUUGAUGUUCCAUCCUACCUGCCUGACCUGCCCAGCAUUGCCAACGACCUCAUGUACAUUGCCGACCUGGGCCCCGGCAUUGCCCCCUCUGCCCCUGGCACCAUUCCAGAACUGCCCACCUUCCACACUGAGGUAGCCGAGCCUCUCAAGGCAGGUCUACAAGAUGGGGUACUAACACCACCCCCACCGCCCCCACCACCACCCCCAGCUCCUGAGGUGCUGGCCAGUGCACCCCCACUCCCACCCUCAACCGCGGCCCCUGUAGGCCAAGGCGCCAGGCAGGACGACAGCAGCAGCAGCACGUCUCCUUCAGGUGGGAGCAGCUCUUUGAGGCCACCUGAUUUCUGGCGUGCUCAGUGCACUCGGGUGGAUUUUCUGUGGGUUUGUUAAGUG